This 11948-nucleotide long non-coding RNA is filed under the name Vitis vinifera (wine grape). Its description in RNAcentral is "long non-coding RNA (VVIN_LNC005736)". Lineage: Eukaryota; Viridiplantae; Streptophyta; Magnoliopsida; Vitales; Vitaceae. The record is from RNAcentral.
UCCUCCUUCCUGUAAUAGAAAGCAGUGAUCUUGAAUUGCAUGUAGGGGUUAUCUUGUGCUUUGAUUACUCUCCUCUUCAUAAGAGACUGAUAUUUCUAUUUUUUUUUAUUAUAUUUAGUGAAUCAAAUUUUUGUUCAGAACUCAAUUUCAGUUUCCUUAAUGGUCGCAAUAUUUCAACUACACUUACAAAUGCAGGUAAGAGUGCUAGCAGCUGGCAUAAUCAGUUUCAGACAAGGGAAUUCUCAUUUUCAGAUGCUAAUGAGAGCCCAUGUUGAUGUCUAAGGCGCUACACUUGCCACUAAUGGUUGGCACUGCUUAAUAUUACAGGGAGAAAUUCUAAUGGCUGCGGGUAGUUGAGAUAGAGACUGUAAAAAUGUUCUCCUGUUUCUUUUUAGUUCUUGGUUUAUUAUUUGAUAAGUGGUUCUUAGAAGGUGAAGGAUCAUAUUCUUUGUCAGCAAACUUUGAUUUGACUUUUGCAACUUCAUUUUAGGCAAAUGUUUAUUGUGCCUUUUGGAGCUCCAAGCACCUACAUAUUUAUGUGCUUUAAUCCCAUUAUUUGCUAUAGAAGUGAAGACAAAAUAAAGCAUAGUUUAAAAGGUUCUGCUUACAAGGAUUUGUAAUGCAAAGGUUUGAGGAUUGAUUGAAAUGGAUCAGAGUCCUCAUUGUUAUACUCCAACUCCUAGAUCUUAUUGUUCUUCUGAAUAAGUUGCCUGCUUGAUAUUCUUGAUUCUCUUUAGCAGGUUCAAAUGUGGAUGACUACUAAAUAGUUGUUUCAAACUCCUGACAAUGUUAUAGUUACCAGCAGAAUGUUUAUUUAGAAGGCCAUAACUAUGUUUGUAAUCCCUUGUAUAAAGCAGGGCAAUGAUGAACAGUAUUGGUUGUAUUUAUGAGAUGUAAUGGAUAUUAAGUUCACAUUGUGAGAUAUACUACUUAUCACUAUCUACACAGACAUUUAAAUCUCUCUCUCUCUCUCUCUCUCGGCAUUUGAAAUGGGUCUGUUGAGGCCUCGCGUCCCUAGUGAUCCAUGUAGUUGUCAAAUGGAUGGACGCACGAUCUCAACCAAUAUAGAUUCUUGAUUCAAUCGUACUACCUGCAAAAGGCGUCAGGACGGGGUGUCCGGACGCACCCUCCGAUGGUUUUGUCAACCAUGAUAAGAGAGAUAAGUCAGUUGACCUUUUACUAGGUGCAGCAAGCUUACCUUCUUCUUUGUGUGAAGGUUCAUAUAUAUAUAUAGUAUCAGAAGCUUUGUUUCUCUCUUUAAUGGUAGGGAGAUAUUUUGUGUUGUCAUGAUGACACUAGGUGGUGGCAGAGCCAUCAUCACCCUACGGGCGGCUGACAAAGAUCGUGAUAGGUGCUGCAACUGUCAGAAAUCGUGAUAGGUGAUCGUGGGAAGUGAUCGUAGGAAGUGACUUGCCGUCACUUCAUUCUUGUCCUUUCACCCUGUAGGUGGCGGAACGUGGGUCAUGACAGGCUGUUGUGAUAACGUGUAAGACUUGCUUACUUCAGUCAAUGAUCCAGAUAAACAUACCCGGAUAGUGUAUGUCGGUCGUCCGGAUGCGCUGUGGCAGUCGUCCGGAUGUUAUGUUUGUGAAUGUCGUGUGCCUCUCCUUGAGGGAGUCCGGAUAGGAGAAGCGCGCCACGUGUACUCUUGGGGAAAUCCGAAUGAGGCUAAUCCGGAUGAGAAUGUGUGUCAUGUGUCCUUAGGAGAUGUGUGCCACGUGUGGGGAGGGGUCCCUACAGGGCCUACUUCGUUUCUUCCAUUUCUUAGGAUUUUAAGAAAAGAAGGAUUUAUGCCUCCCAAGCAUUAUAGAAAACAAAAUCAUCAUCCCCUCUCCGUGUGAUGUCCAAAUUAGGAGUGACUGGGACUUCCUGAAUAUUAGAUGGUUUUCCAGUUCACAAAUAUUCCUACAGGGGGCCAGGUUUGGCCUCAUUGGGUGCCUUUUUGGUCUGGAAGCGACCACCAGAUGUCUAGAAUUCAAACCUUGCCCUACUGCUUGGUAAAUAUUAACUUCGUGAUUAUCUAAUGUCAUCCAGUUUAAAUUUUGAUUAGUUUAAAUUCCAAUAUUUCAAUUAACUUUUGAUAUACAUUCAAUGAUGUUAAAAACGAUUCAAAUCCCCGAUGUUGACAUUGUUGGGAUAUAUUCUGUGAUGUAUCAACCAGCACAGUGAGAUGAUCACAGAAAACUGGGUAACAGUCCAUCAGAUAAUGGAAAAUCAUGGAGGUUCAUGCAGAUAUGGAGAGAGGGUGAUAUUUCAAUGACACGUCAGGAUAUGGAUAAUAAAGCAAAGCUAAAGUGAGUCUUGUAUUCGAGACUACUGGACUCCACUGUUCUGUGACCCACAUGCAUAGUUGGAGGAGACCAUGCCAUGGUACAAGCACCAUUGAAUGAGGAUUCAGGGCCUUAUCUUUGAAUAAGAAUAGGAGAAGAAAAUCAUGUGAAUGUAUAAGUUUGAUUCCCGCCAUACAGUUUGCUAAUCAAUAAUGAUGGGUUGGAUCAAUGAACCUGAUUUCUGGGUCAGGCAGAAGGAGAAUACUACUCAAUUCAAAUGGCAUUGGACAAUAGAAAUUCUAAGCCUCCUGGUUCUAGACAAAUACCUCUCGGAUAUAAAUGCAUCUCAUCUGAACUGCUAGGCUAUGACAUAGUGGGAAAUUCUUUCUUUGAAAAGAAUUGAAAUACCAAUGUACUGGUUUGACCUGAGAAGACAUGGUUUGGAUGAAAGUAGAAAAGGACAAGCUCCUAAAAACAGGGGCUACUUAGUUAGGGAUGUAGUGGCCCCAAGAGUCAGAAGCCCUUUAUUUUGAAGGUUUUGCUGGGAUUUCACUUUCAUGUUCUUUAGAGUCCUAAUCUGAACUAGGGAAAUCCACUUGUUCAGAGGCCUUGACCACCUUCGUUGGUGCUUGGUUUCAGUUGCAUGAGAAAUAAACCCCUGCUAUGUAAUGAGUUUAGUAAAGAGAAGCCACUAAAGAUGACCCUGGCUUCUUAUCUUUUUUGGCUUUAUUUGAAAAAGAAAUGAUGGGAUUAGGAAAAAUGAUGCUCUUUCCAAACUAGUUGUCUGAGUUGCUUCUACAGCAUGCACAGCAAGCCCCAUAAUAAAUAACAUUUAGAUAUUAUGUGUUGUCAAAGGAUAUACUUAGAGAAGCUAGCGUUACUCCCCAUUGUUACUCCACAAGUUCCAGCUGAGCUGCAGGAUUCUUGAACGUUUUAUUAUGUUCUCUCAAGAACUUAAAUAAUAUUCUUGGUAGAACAUAGUAAGGAUUAGUGUGCAUAAUAUGUGCAGUUUCUUUAUGUUUUGGUUCUAAAUCUUGGUCACUAACAAGAAACUUUCUUGGAAUAACUGGUUUGAUUUGGUUGCUAGCUGCAACUCAAACCCUAUAACUGAAUCUUUUUGCACCGACUGAAUACGUGCCUAGAGUGAAAAUGUGGUACUCAGGAAUUUCUUCCUUUCAUACCAUUUUUGGAUUAUCAAUUGGAUUCUUGAUGGGUUAAAGCACCAAAAAAAAAAACUGUACUUUUUAUAAUUAUGAAGAGAUUAAACUAAUAAGUACAUUUAUGCCCAAAAACAAUCUAGGGUUUACCAUCUGUCUCAUCAUUCUACCUUCUCUAUCCUUAAAUUAUUUCCAAAGCUGCCAAAGUUCCAACUGGUGUUAUAGGAGACAAACCUGUUGGCCUAGUCGCUGACACUUCUGAUAGAUUUCAUUCAAUGGUUCAGAGAAUCUUUUUUGGACCCUAUCUUCUCACCUGCUUCCCCUUGUAUUGUGCUUUAGAGUCAUGCCAUUCAGAACUAACAUAUAUAUGUAUAUAUAUAUAUAUAUAUAUUUAUCAGACAUUCAGAACUAACAUAUAACAAGGUACCUUCUGCAAUUGUGGUAUUUGAUGUUUACUAGUGAAGGAGGUAAAGGAUUAUACCACUUAUUUUUGCUAAAUGGGGUUGAUGAUUGCAUUGGGUGUGACUUGCUGGUCCAUCCCCUAGUUUCCAAUGGACAUUUACUUCCUUGAGAAUGUUAAAUCAAAGGCUAGUAUAAAGUUCAUCACAAAUGCAUGCAAGCAUGGUAAGAAGUGCUUAAGCUGGGGUUCUGUAGGUACAAAGAAUCAUUCCCCUCCUUUAUCGGGAAACGUGAUUCCUUCUCACCUAUGUUAGGAAAGAAAGUGCAGGAAGUCCAGUCCUACUGGUACCAAAUUCAAUUCUGUUUACCACAAAUUUUCUAGUGCCCCAUAAGACUGAAAUUUAUCUUUUAUGUUAGAUUUCAAAUGUAUUUAUUUCAAUUUCCCAAAGCUCCACAAGAUGCUGAAAGUUAUAUUGCAUGUCAUCCUGUUUAUAAGCAAAUCCCAUUCAUGGCUCUGUUGGAUUUUCAGCAGAAAAGGAAUGGUUUGUAUCUUGUUUCCAUGUCUCUUGUGACAUGUUACAUUUGUUCAAGCCUCUCCAGAUGCAGUUGCCAUGUCGAACAAAAUGGACUAGUUUGACAAAAUCUAUUGAGGAUCUUUUUGGCACAUUUCUCAGUAUUAGGUAUUCCAUGUUCUUUUUCUGAUUUUGACUUUUGGUAUGCUUGAUUUGCUAAAUAGAACUGGUUUCUUCUUUUCUAUGUCUCUGUUUUUCUCCAAUGUUAGCAUGGCAAGCACACUAGAAAGCUUCUUUCAACCAGAAACACCUUUACUUCAAUUGUAAAAGGCUAAAAACAUAGUACUAAGCCCAUCUAGUGCCUCUUUAUAUAGCAGUAAAAAAAACUAGAGAAUCAUAAUUUUCAAAUGCAUCUCUGGGAGAAAGGGGUGAGCCCUUGAACAACCUACUAUCUUGACUAAAACUAUUGGCAUCCUUUUCCCACCUCACCAGCUUGUGUAGUGGGGAAACUGCCCUGCUUUUAAUCCAAGUAAAAUGCUUAGGUGGUUACCUCAUCAGGACAUAUGCUCGAUCAUUUAAAAAUCAGUAAGGUUGAGAGCAAAUCUCUAUGAGCUUUUCUGAUGUGGCUGCCACUAUGUGUGACAGUUUCUAUAUAUCCUGAACAUAUUCUGGCUCUUCUGCUCCCCCACCACUACCUCCAUCAAGAUCACUGCCACAUCCACAGCUCAUAUAACUGCAGCCCUAUACACUUCUGUUUACAUCAGCAAUUAAUACUACAAAUCUAUGGGGGAUUUCAAUCUAAGUGAAUCAAUCACUAAUAGAAUAUGAUCAAGACAAGGAAUACAGAAGCAUAUCCUAUCAAACCCGUUCUCUCUCUCAGACGCACAUACAUGUGCGAUUCUUUCUAUAUUAGGAAGAAGCCAAAGGGCAAAAAUAAUGAUGAUGCAAUGCCUGUCACUGUCUCAACAUGAAGACAAAUGCAAAGUAGAAAAAGAAUGGUAAAUUUAGUUUAGUAGGGGCCUUUUACAUACAAAUUUUACUUUGUCCUAUAUUUUUCUUGGGGAGGAUUUGGUUAAAAGUGAAUUGUAACGAUCUUUCAACCUAUCCUAGUGUCAGGGUAAAGAAAGCCUACACACCAAGCUCUCUUAUAGGCCAUCAAUCUCACCUCUGAAAGGUCCUCACCAUCAUGUGUAGAGGUGUGAAAGUGUGGAACUUCCUUCUUAGUGGCCUCAAAGUAAGUUAUUAAAUACCGCUUGUCCCUUAAUAUAUCUAAAGAUAGAGGCCUGUGUUUUAAUCUCAUCGACUGAUGGAGGAACACUUCAACUCAAUACCUGCUAUUCAUCUCCUUCAACAUACCUUAAGAAGCUUGUGUAUUCAUGAAGACUCCCUGUGGGUAUAUGCAGUUUUUUGGAGAAUCUUACCUAGAAACUAUCCACCACCAAAGUAAGUAUGAUCAUGACCAACAGUGAUUGUUUUUGGCUCCAAUAAGUAAAGGAGCCCAUGAUUUUAAUUCCAAGUUAGGCAGAUGUUUUCUUUUGCUGUGCUUUUAACUUCCUGAGUUUCUAACAGUUGGGAUUUCCAAGGAGCUUUUGACAGGUCAAGAGGAAACAGGAGGAAUUGGUAUUCACUAGGAAGUUUCAUUUUUCUAGUUUUCUGCACUCCCCAAGCUUUAUUUCACUUGAAUGGUCUUUCAUGGUUAGUAUGUCCCAGGAUACUGGUAUGGGAGGAUGGCUUCUGCAACUUCAUUCCUUCAACCACUGAGAUUAAUCCUGGAGCAGGAUCCUCAGUUCACAGAAACUCUGAAGUUAGACUCCUCGAACUGCAACCAGAGCUAUUUUUCAAGAUGUCACAUGAAAUCUACAAAUAUGGAGAGGAGUAAGUAGAAGCUACCAGAUGUUAUUCAUAUGACUCGGGACUAAAACUGAUUUCAAACUUAAACAAAUGAUUUGGUCUUUGGCAGCUUGAUUGGAAAAGUUGCUGCAGAUCAUAGUCAUAAAUGGAUUUACAAAGAACAUAGUGAUCCAGAAAACAAUCUUUUCUCUGCAUGGCAAAACUUGGGAGACCUUGUAAGUACUGCAUAUGCCAACAUCAUAUUUUUUUUCUUUCCAUUUGAUCUGGUCUCGCUACUGUCUGCCUGUUUUUCUUUGAAUUACUAUUUGCAGCAUCCAAGGACAUGGAGGGCUCAGUUUCAGUCCGGCAUAAAGGUUCAUUACAAGAAUCACUGUUUCUUGCUACUUUUCUUUGCUUAAAACUUCCAAGACCUAAUUAAUUCUUGUUUGAGUGUAUAACACAAAGCAAUCUUUUGCACCAACUGUUAAGUGAAGUUUAAACCAUUUUUUUGUUAAGUGAAGUACUUUUUAUUUUUAUUUUGGAGAGGUGUGUUCUAAAAUUUCCAGUAAUCAUCUUCUUGGAACAACAGUUGCAGGUAUUUGAUACCUAUAUGCAAUCUGGAGGUUAAAAGCUAAGUGUCUAGUUUAAUUUUCACAAAGUGGUCAUGGGAAGUUUGAUCCUCUUAAGUUUGUUCCUGAAGCAAGACCUAUGGUCCAACAACUAAUGGUUCUUUUUUUCAAACAAAAUUGCAGACAAUAGCUUUGAUUGCAGUGAAGGAAGGCGUUCUUCAAUUGGGAUCUGUUAAAAAGGUCCAAUGUCUCUUCUCUCCGAACAUUGAUUAUAUAUAGAUGUUUUAUCAUUUAUGCAUGUAUAUGUUGGACCUCUGUUUCUUCACCCACUAAAUACUCUUCAUAGUAUUUUAGGUGACAGAAGACCUCAAUUAUGUUACUAUCCUACAAAAGAAAUUCACUCAUCUCCUUAGUAUCCCCGGUUUCCUCCUACCUCAUCCAGCAUCAUGGUCAUCGUCAUCAAUUCCAUCCAAGACUAAUUGUGGCAGUGACAACAUUGUGUCCAACACCUGUCCUUUCCAAGCAGCUUGCCCUCCCCUGACAGCAAUGAAUUUCUAUGAUCAUGCCAAUCAGCCAAUGGUUAUCACUCCAUCUAUGAGCAGCCUUGAGGCACUCCUCUCAAAGCUCCCAUCCGUUGAGCCAACACCGUCCACACCUUUGUCUGGCUACCAUGAGACACCACCAAGGCUAAUAUCCAUCCAAAAGCCACUGGAACUGGAUAUCGAGGUGGUAGCAAUGGAGAUAAAUGAAAGGAAAGAACAUUAGUGAGACUAGCAGUUUCAUGUACUGGUAUCAUUACUGCUGGCUAUGUAAGAUGAUAUAAGAUCAGGUGAGGUACCUUCUAACCUGUCAAUUUUCAGUAUGUCCCAUUAUUGAUUUAUCCUGUCACUGGUAUAUCAUAUGCAGUUGUCCCAGGUAGAAUUUGACUGUGUUUGACUAUUCUAUGUGAAAAAUUCUCAUCUCUAGUCAUUUUUCUACAAUUACUUUCCUAGAAAAACAGGGCAAAACAAGUAGGGGUCUGUAUUAAACCAGGAAUCUGCUUAAUUCCAAUUGGGAAAAACAGGGCUGUGUAUCCUAGAGGUCCAUUUACAUAUCAAAGGUUUUGUGUAUCCUCAAUCUUCCCAGACCCCAGUUGGGUAAAACAAGGUGGAGAUUUGUUUGGUAGCCAAAGCUCUACUCAUGUAACUCGAUGGAAACACGAAGAAAACACAAGAAAGAUGCACGGUUUGGAGACUGAUAUAUGGUAAAAGGAUGUCCAUUAAGGUUCCCACUAUAGCCAUACAUCUUCCAGAUAUUUUGAUGGUGAAAACAUGUGACUGAAACGUGAAAAAAAAAAUAUGUAGUCCGGAGAGGGCCAGGAUGUCUGUAUGAGCCCUCUUCCUCCAUUAAGGUUCCCAGAUUUGUCUUGGAGAUAUUUUGCCACUGAUUCGGGUAACAGUAGACAGGUAAAUUGAGUGGCUCAAAUACUAGAAAGCAAAGCCCCUGACAAGGUAAUUACAUCAGUCUUAAUAUUUGAUUCCAUCCGAGAUAUAUUAAAAAGAAGUGACACCGAAGCGGCUGGCUCACUCGGCCCACUUAAGUGAGCCUGGGUCCAACCCUUUAAUGGACCAUGGCCCAAGGUCCAAGCCUGUAUAGGCCGGACAAGGGUGACCACUGUGCCGGACACUGAAUCGAAAUAGAAAGAAGCUUGGCUAGAGGAAAGCCCACUACUUCAAAACCCGAGCACCAAUGCCAAACUAUGAUCCAUUUACUAGGCCAAGGCAGGAUGCAUUCUCUUAUGCCAUGAAUACCUCUUAACAUUGCCUAGUUUUGUUGACCUAAGUAAUGAGUCCACCCAAAGGUAACAUGAGGGGAAUCAAGGAGUUGACUUGUAGGAUUAACAAGAGACCCUUUCGAUAGUUUGUCAAUUGCCACAUGGUCAAACUUGACAAGACAAUAGCGAUCGAAUACAGUAGUCAUGAUGUCAUCUAAAAGGGUAAGUUUGACUAGCCAAUAACGACUUAACUCUUUUUUCAUGAGGCAUUCCAAACAAUAGUUUAAAAUGAUAGGGUUGACUAAUCAAUAGUAGCUCGAUUCUAUUUUUGUACGAUCAUCCAAGUAAUAGCUUGAGCAAGCAAAAGUGAUAGAGGGAAUUUGGGAGCUUACUUAUACCCCUUGGACACUCUCAAUCAUUUGUCAAUUACCACAUGGGUAGAUUGAUAAGACGGUGGCGACCAAGAUAUAUUAGUCAUGGUGUUGUUGUCUGGAAGGUUAAGGUUGACCAGUCAAUAACGACUCAAUUCUAUUUUCAUAAAACAGUCCAAACAAUACUUUAAAAAGCUAAGGUUGAUGAGCCAAUUGCAACUUAGUUCUAUUUUUGUAAGGUCAUCCGAGUAAUAGUCAACCAAAAUUUGGUUGACUAUGGGUAUACAUGGAUGACUUAGUUCCAAAAAAAACAAACUUGUUUUUGCCCAUUAGAUCCCUAAUUCAUUUCUCAUACUCAUCUUGCCAGUUAUAGUGUAUUUAAUGGUGUUUUUAAUAGAAAUAUUUAUUUAAAAAUGUUUUUAGGAUAAUCACUUAUCAAGUGUUUCUUUAGAAAAUAUUAUAAAUGAUUUUUCAAAUUUUUAUUUCAUAAAUUUUUUCAAACAUAUUUAAAAAAAAAAACACACACACACAUAUUUUAAGUUAAAAACACUUCAUAAAAUUACUGUCAAAGUACAUUUGAUAAUAAUUAUAGAAAAUAUUUCUAAUAUUUCUAACACUCGAAAAUUAUUAUUUUUUAAGAAUUUAAAAAGUUAAAAAUACUUUAAAAAAUCACUAUAAAUACACUUUUAGAACUUGUUUGAUACUAGAAAAUUUUUAUUACUUAAUUAUUAAAAAUAUUUAAAAUGCUUUGUAGAAUCCCUGGCAUGUUUAGUCUUAAAAUUGAGCUACUAACUUUGACCCAAUCAUUUGAUGCAAACCUUUUUUGUGCAACUUCGCUAGUAACUUUGGACCAAUCAUUGUGUAAAUUUGUACCAACCUGGUCGUUGGAGAGGCACACUCGAGAAUUCCUUGAUUACCCUUGCUAGCUUGUAGGAAUUUGUGUUAGUGGAGUACCUGUUACUUGCUCGAUCAUUCAUCAGACAGGGGGGCAAGGUUGUUUUUGGACUUGCCCAUUUACCGACCCGCAUUAAUUAGAAGCACCUACUCCAACAUGUUACAAGAGAAAAUCCAGUAAGCAUCAGCAAUGUUUUGCUUAGUGAGUUCAAACUGCACCCAGAGGACACGUAAGAUAAUGCCUUCUACGUAACCUCCAUGAAUCAAUAUACAAACAGGGGGAUGAUGUAUAUCACAAAUAUUGCUAUAGAAAAUGACUGGUGGUACCAUAAAUUCCCCCUUGCUUCUCCCCAAAAGGAGGGAUAAGGUCUAGUAAUAGCAAAGGACGUGAGUAGGCCACCGACGCCUUUAUAUGGUGGUGGUCUGCCUUAUCUCCAUAUCCCCAUAUGCUUGGUUGCAGGCAGCAGAAAGAUAUUUUGCUAAAGCGAAGGAAAAGCCAGAAUACCUGUGGAUGAAUUUGUAAAAGCCACAUGCGUUAACAGUAACUAAGCCCUUCUGAAACACACGGAAUCAUCACGUGUAUACAUCCACACCUGGGGCUGGGGCUCUUGAUCUUUUAGGCCAAAAGCAUGAUUUGUCAGCCACGUACUGCCUUUGCUUUUGGUUUGCCAGCUAACUAACCAAACUAAGCCCUUCUGAAACACACGGAAUCAUCACAUGUAUACAUCCACACCUGGGGCUCUUGAUCUUUUAGGCCAAAAGCAUGAUUUGUCAGCCACGUACUGCCUUUGCUUUUGGUUUGCCAGCUAACUAACCAGUACUCUUCCCGGCAAUGGAAAUUAAGAUCAGGAUCUGACGUGGAGAUCAAAUAGAGGACGGGAGUUGGACAGCUGUCAGGAUUCGAGGAUUACGAGGACAGAUAUUGUCCAGAUGCCAAAACUAGUGGCUAGAAUGAGGGUGCGAGAGCUGUCAGGGCUGGUUGAAAGCCAUUGGACUGAUCAUGAGUCACAGACUCACAGACUCAGAGACUCACAGGACUCACAGCCACCAGUGUUGGAUAGCAGCAAAUAAUGGUACCUGUUCACACAGAUUUCUCUCCACAAGUCUUAAGCCCACAAGGACAAAGCUAGCUAGCUAGCUAGCAAACAUCACAACAUGCUUACUCUCUUGACUACUCUUCUCAUUUAUAUUAUACUCCAAACCAACACAACCCACUACUCUUAUCUCGGCUUUCUCUAUUUCUCUCCAUUCUUACAUCAUGGGUUCAUACAAAAAUGUAUGUCUUCAAAAGAAUACAAGGAGGAGGGGAGCGCCAAGAAAGGUUCUAAUGAAGUUCCAGAAGCUCCAGAGGCUAGUGCCUGGUGGACAUGGGCUGCAGCCGGACCAGCUUUUCCUGCAGACUGCUGAUUACAUUCUGCAUUUGAAGUUGCAAGUUAAUGUACUGGAAGCCAUUCUCAAGCUGCAUGGGCCAUGAGUCACUGCAUUUUUCCUACAUAUUAUUCUCUGUGUGUAGUACCACAAAUAUGAGUUUUUCAUGGUUUUUGUGCACUAGAUUCAAAUCGAAGUUGCCUUCUUGUAAAUUGAAUGAUUUGUGUGUGUUAUAUAUAUAGCCUGGAUAUGACUCUUCUCUAUGUUUAUUUUUCCUCUAAUUUUUCAACAAUGGGAGGCAUAUUUUUGUGGCUAUGAAGCAGGAAUAGUGAAGAUAAGGCUAGCUAAAUGUCACAGUUUGACUAAUAAUAUUACUCAAAAAGAACAAAAUCUCAGUCCAUUUGCACAGUUGUAUGACACCUUAUCCUACAGCCAAGAAACAGGUCAUUUAUUGAGAGAGUGAGACUAGGUUGAAAUUCAACCCAUUAGGGGGUGUUGAGCUGUUGAAGAAGAGGAUACUGAAAGAGGUUAAGGCAUGCAUGUUCUUCUACCAGGCCAUGGCACCUAAUUUCAUAAUUAGUUUUGGUAGAUCUGUUGGGGAUGAGGAAACAAUUAAGUACUGUAUCCUGUACAUCAUGGGAUUGCUGGCCAGAGUAGAAUACGUAGCUACUGUUUCUGUGUGAGAAAUGGGAAGCCUCAGCUCUUCACAUGAUCCCAUGGCUUUCAUGAAAAUCUGAGGUAAAAUCCAAGGCAAGGAAAAUAUAGAAGAAAAUUAAAAAAUAAAUAAAUAAUAAAAAAUAGAUUUAAAGUUAAUAAAUUAUUUUU